AGAAUGAACGUUGGCGGCGUGGAUUAGGCAUGCAAGUCGAACGGACCUUGCUUGCAAGGUCAGUGGCGCAAGGGUGAGUAAGGCGACGGUAACCAACCCCAUGGUCGGGUAUAGCCGCGGGAAACCGCGGGUAAUCCCCAGCGACGUGGCCGGCCGGCAUCGGCGGGCCACCAAAGCUCCGGCGCCGUGGGACGGGCCGUCGUGGUAUUAGCUUGUUGGCGGGGUAACGGCCCACCAAGGCGGCGAUGCCUACCGGGCGUGCGAGCGUGGCCCGGCACACUGGGACUGAGACACUGCCCAGACUCCUACGGGAGGCUGCAGUCGAGAAUCUUCGGCAAUGGGCGCAAGCCUGACCGAGCGACGCCGCGUGGAGGACGAAGGCCUUCGGGUUGUAAACUCCUGUCGAGGGGGAAGAAGGGAGUAACACCCUUGACUGAUCCCUGGAGGAAGCACGGGCUAAGUUCGUGCCAGCAGCCGC
Molecule: ribosomal RNA, 478 nt
Filed under: uncultured bacterium
Lineage: Bacteria
Description: SSU rRNA
Rfam family: Bacterial small subunit ribosomal RNA
Source: RNAcentral